Molecule: long non-coding RNA, 2645 nt
Organism: Pseudophryne corroboree (corroboree frog)
Lineage: Eukaryota; Metazoa; Chordata; Amphibia; Anura; Myobatrachidae
Exons: 4
Source: RefSeq, a predicted model, not a curated record
CAUACAGUAGGAUUACUAACAGGAAGUUUCGUGAUCACCAUGAAAAGGCUUCCCCCCCUCCAGUGAAUAUUCUCUCAUCUCACACACUGUACAAGCCCCUACAAUUACUGUAUAUUUAUUUGUGAUCAUCUUUUCCUGUUUAGAGAUAAUUGUUCAUUUUUUGUAAUGUUCUUGCUGCCUCCAUAGAGUUGUGUUGUGGGACAGGGGUCAUAUAUUAAGGGGAGGCAUGCGGAGAUGACAAGCUGGACCCAGUUUACAUAUCUGACCCAAAAGUCAGUUCUUAAGGUAUUAUCUAUAAUAUGAUCCUGUGCCUCAUAUACUGAAUUUAGCCCUGUCAUUGGCCUCCAGCUAGUGAAAUACAGCGCUCUGUCUAAUGAUGGAGGUGUUUAUGAGCAUAUUGCGGUGUCAUUAGGGAUUCGUACAUCAGAUCCGUUUUAUAGGGCAGAUCUAGUCAUCCCAUAUAAGCAGUACUAUAAAACAGAAAGGUCAGAGCCCCUGCAGGAACACAGCAGCCGGAGGGACACGUCAGAGGCUGGAGAUUGGGUUUCCCACCUUCUGUUCCCAGUCAGACCCUAAACGUGGCCACAGCGCCCGCUUACACCCACAAAGAUGACACUUCCCUUCUGAGUCGAUGAGGACACAAGAUCUGAAGAUAUGAAUGAAAGACCCUUGAGGGAGUGCACAGCGGCUGAAUGCAAGAUCCCAGCUGUGGGUCAGGGGUGGCUGGAUCCUGUGGUGCUGCAGAGGAAACUCAAUACAUAGUUGAAGAGUUGAAAGAUUUUUACAGUGUUAUUUCUCCCUCCUGCCUGGGGCGUAGCACGUGGUGUUUGCUGUGCUCAUACGUUUAGAGCCCAGAAAGGCCAAAGUACUUGUUGGUUAUUGUUUAACUCCUCUGAAGCCGUCUGCGCCAAUAUCGUGUCUUAAGUAUGAUUCUCUACAGAUAAAUGGUGUCCUACUCCCAACUUUGCCUAGAAACAUCGCACAGACUCAACAGGCCAUGACUUUAUCAUAUGCCAUCAAGUUGAACACAUUUUCCCGUAUGCGUCAAAACAUACAUGUCAGAAUGAAACACAGGGUAGAAAAAUAUGCACUUCAUUUGGUAAAGUACGUGAAUUAAGACCCUAAACAACAGCCUGCCCCAAAAACAUGAGGGAGAGGAGCGGAAAAGGAUCCGUUUGAGAAGUGUCUGCAACAGAAGAAAGACAGAGACAUGGAGCAGGGCUGGUCUGUAUGAGCGGAGAGGGACGUGGGUUAUUGAACAUGCAGAUUGAAGAAACAAAUCACAGCACAAAAUCAGCGUGCCUUCAAUGCAGGGCUCGACAAACAACACAACUUUCCCUCUGUACUAAUCUCCUGUUGUUCUAGAGUAAGGAUUGUAAUGCUUUUUAUUUCUGAAUUCAUCAAUGUAACCGUUUUGUAUACUUUGGGAACAUCUCAGACUUGAGAGAAAGCUUUGGAAAUCUGACCCUGUACGGACAAUGGGUUUUCUGGGCAAUAUAUUCCUGGUCUUGUUGCAUAAAGUAAGUGGGGACUAGUCUACAAAAGUGGAGAUAAAUUGCCCUUAAAAUGAAGAUGACGUUGUAGUUUGGGCGGAGCUGCCGCAUCAGUUGGGGUCCUAGCAAGGGCGGACAGAUAAAGAAUUUGGGGGAGGGCCCGGCAAUGGCGCACCAGCCCUGUGUACAGUAGUCAUGUGUAAGAGUAAAGCCCUGGCAUGUCAACCUUGUUGUGUGAUCCAGUCCUGAGACCUGGGUCACAUUGGGAAUUACAGCUAAGACCAAUUUGUCAUGUUUAUCUUAUUGAUUGCGCUCUUAAUGAAUCCUAUUGAUUCAUCCUCUGGGUCUCUUUCUAGCAGACAGAUAUAUUGCCGUCAGCUGAUUAAUUGUACUGCUGGAGUCCGUACCAGGGCGUGAGGUGCACGGCCUAAUCACAAACUACAUCUAACUGGAUCAGAAUUUGUUUUUUUCUUGAGUUAUGGCAAAAUGUCCAAGUAUUCAAGAACUAUGGCCCUCAUUCCGAGUUGUUCGCUCGCUAGCUGCUUUCAGCAGCAUUGCACACGCUAAGCCGCCGCCCUCUGGGAGUGAAUCUUAGCUUAGUAAAAUAGCGAAGUAUUCGCAAUAUAGCGAAAAUAAAUUUCUUAGCAGUUUCUGAGUAGCUCGAGACCUACUCAAAAAUAGCGAUCAGUUCAGGCCGUUUCGUUCCUGGUUUGACGUCACACACACGCCCAGCGUCCGGCCAACCACUCCCCCGUUUCUCCAGACACUCCCGCGUUUUUGCCUGACACGCCUGCGUUUUUCCGCACACUCCCAGAAAACGGCCAGUUUCCGCCCAGAAACACCCACUUCCUGUCAAUCACACUACGAUCACUUCAACGAUGAAAAAGCUUCGUUCUGCCGUGAGUAAAUCUACUAAGUUCUUAGUAAAAUUACUACCCGCAUGCGCACUGCGAACCAUGCGCAUGCGCAUUUUUGCCUUAAUCGCUCCGUUGCGAAAAUCGUCAACGAGCGAACAACUCGGAAUGAGGGCCAAUAUACGGGCAAUAAAAUUUUACAGGUGAAAUACUGUUAUUUUUCCAUUUUGGAAAACAAAAUGUUUGUAAAACUUCUCCUAUAACGCAAAGAGAAAAUAAAUAAUACCAAUAUCUAUAA